CAGAGAAUAGUUUAAUGUAGAAUCUUAGC
This 29-nucleotide transfer RNA is filed under the name Acipenser ruthenus x Huso huso (bester). Its description in RNAcentral is "partial tRNA-Pro". Lineage: Eukaryota; Metazoa; Chordata; Actinopteri; Acipenseriformes; Acipenseridae. The record is from RNAcentral.